RNAcentral lists this ribosomal RNA (92 nucleotides) under Microcebus murinus (gray mouse lemur). Lineage: Eukaryota; Metazoa; Chordata; Mammalia; Primates; Cheirogaleidae. The record is from RNAcentral.
GUCUACAGCUAUACCAACCUGAGCACAUCUAAUCUCGUCUGAUCUCAGAAGCUAAGCAGGGUCGCACCUGGUUAAUAACUGGAUGGGAGAAA